This 254-nucleotide ribosomal RNA is filed under the name uncultured bacterium. RNAcentral describes it as "partial 16S ribosomal RNA". It matches the Rfam family "Bacterial small subunit ribosomal RNA", at positions 524 to 776 of the family's 1533-position model. The record is from RNAcentral.
CACGUAGGGGGCAAGCGUUGUCCGGAUUUAUUGGGCGUAAAGAGCUCGUAGGCGGUUUCGUAAGUCGGAUGUGAAAACUCCGGGCUCAACUUGGAGACGCCAUUCGAUACUGCGAUGACUUGAGUCCGGUAGGGGAGUGUGGAAUUCCUGGUGUAGCGGUGAAAUGCGCAGAUAUCAGGAGGAACACCGGCGGCGAAGGCGGCACUCUGGGCCGGUACUGACGCUGAGGAGCGAAAGCGUGGGUAGCAAACAGG